GCAUAAUAAAUAGUUUUUUAAUUGAAAACUGGAAUGAAGGGUAGAGAUUGAAAGGAUGGUUUUAUUUAAUGAAUUUGAAUUUAUAUUAAUAGUAAAAAUACUAUUAUGAAAUCUUGGGACGAGAAGACCCUAGAAGCUUAUUAAAUUUAAUUAAUUUUUUAUUGGGGCAAUAAUUGAAGAAGAAAUUUUUAAUGGAGAAUAGAGAUUUGAGAAAGAAGUUACUCUAGGGAUAACAGCGUUAUUUAAUUUAAGAGUUCUUAUUAAUAAUUAGGUUUGCGACCUCGAUGUUGAAUUAAUU
RNAcentral lists this ribosomal RNA (298 nucleotides) under Triglochinura curvispina. Its description in RNAcentral is "partial 16S ribosomal RNA". Lineage: Eukaryota; Metazoa; Arthropoda; Arachnida; Opiliones; Gonyleptidae. The record is from RNAcentral.